RNAcentral lists this ribosomal RNA (350 nucleotides) under uncultured bacterium. Its description in RNAcentral is "bacterial SSU rRNA". It matches the Rfam family "Bacterial small subunit ribosomal RNA", at positions 8 to 353 of the family's 1533-position model. The record is from RNAcentral.
AGAGUUUGAUCCUGGCUCAGGACGAACGCUGGCGGCGCGCCUAACACAUGCAAGUCGAACGAGCGAGAGAGAGCUUGCUUUCUUGAGCGAGUGGCGAACGGGUGAGUAACGCGUGAGGAACCUGCCUCAAANAGGGGGACAACAGUUGGAAACGACUGCUAAUACCGCAUAAGCCCACGACCCGGCAUCGGGUAGAGGGAAAAGGAGCAAUCCGCUUUGAGAUGGCCUCGCGUCCGAUUAGCUAGUUGGUGAGGUAACGGCCCACCAAGGCGACGAUCGGUAGCCGGACUGAGAGGUUGAACGGCCACAUUGGGACUGAGACACGGCCCAGACUCCUACGGGAGGCAGCA